This 1446-nucleotide ribosomal RNA is filed under the name Triticum aestivum (bread wheat). Its description in RNAcentral is "partial small subunit ribosomal RNA". Lineage: Eukaryota; Viridiplantae; Streptophyta; Magnoliopsida; Poales; Poaceae. The record is from RNAcentral.
AUGGUGGCACGUCACACUUGGCUGCUGCCGCCCGUUCUCGCUGUCUGCCUGGCGGCGGCAUUGCUCGCGGCGGACGCGUCGGCACCCUUGCACCUCGAGGCGCUGCUGGCGUUCAAGAAGGGCGUCACCGCCGACCCACUGGGCGCGCUGUCCAACUGGACGGCGGGGGCCGGCGACGCCGUCCGCGGCGGGGUGCCGCGGCACUGCAACUGGACUGGCGUCGCCUGCGACGGCGCGGGCCGCGUCACGUCCAUCCAGCUGCUCCAGACGCAGCUCCAGGGCGCGCUCACGCCGUUCCUGGGCAACAUCUCCACGCUCCAGCUCCUCGACCUCACCGAGAACGGCUUCACCGGCGCCAUCCCGCCGCAGCUCGGCCGCCUCGGCGAGCUCCAGCAGCUCAUUCUCACCGAGAACAGCUUCGCCGGCGGCAUCCCCCGGGAGCUCGGCGACCUGGGGAACCUGCAGCUCCUCGACCUCACCACCAACACGCUCACCGGAGUCAUCCCCAGCAGCCUCUGCAACUGUUCGGCUAUGUGGGCGCUCGGCCUGGGCAUCAACAACCUCACCGGCCAACUCCCCGCUUGCAUCGGCGACCUCGACAAACUCCAGAUAUUCUCGGCCUUUAUAAACAAUCUCGACGGCGAGCUUCCGCCGUCAUUCGCCAAGCUCACACAGAUGAAGUCGCUGGACCUCAGCACCAACAAGCUGUCCGGCUCGAUCCCGCCGGAGAUCGGGAACUUCUCGCACCUCUGGAUUCUUCAGCUGUUGGAAAACCGCUUCUCCGGACCAAUCCCGUCGGCGCUUGGCCGCUGCAAGAACCUCACCUUGCUCAACAUAUACAGCAACCGUUUCACCGGGGCCAUCCCCCGCGAGCUCGGGGAGCUCGUCAACCUGGAGGCGCUGCGGUUGUACGACAACGCGCUGUCGUCCGAGAUCCCGAGCUCGCUGGGGCGGUGCACGAAGCUAUUAUCGCUUGGGCUGUCCAUGAACCAGCUGACCGGCUCGAUCCCGCCGGAGCUCGGCGAGCUCCGGUCGCUCCAGACGCUGACGCUCCAUGAUAACCGGCUCACCGGCACGGUUCCGUUGUCUCUGACGAAUCUUGUCAACCUGACAUACCUGUCGCUCAGCAACAACUCCCUGUCUGGCCCGCUGCCGGAGAACAUCGGGGCGCUCCGGAAUCUCGGGAAGCUCAUCAUCCACAGCAACUCGCUCUCCGGCCCAAUUCCGGCGAGCAUAACCAACUGCACGUUGCUGUCCAACGCGAGCAUGUCAUCAAACGAGUUGACAGGGCACCUGCCUGCGGGGCUUGGCCAGCUACAGGGCCUCGUGUUCUUUUCAGUGGGCAACAACUCGCUGAACGGAAGCAUACCGAAGGACCUGCUCGACUGCGUGAACCUCCGCACUCUGGUCCUAGCAAGCAACAACUUCACCGGUGGGCUGUGGUAG